Molecule: RNA transcript, 783 nt
Organism: Symphalangus syndactylus (siamang)
Lineage: Eukaryota; Metazoa; Chordata; Mammalia; Primates; Hylobatidae
Gene name: amino acid transporter heavy chain SLC3A2-like
Source: RefSeq, a predicted model, not a curated record
GAGUUUGAGGUGUCUGCCGCCGGCUCCCGUGGGGCCGGGCUGGAGGCCGCGGGUGAGGCCUGUGGUUAACCUCGCGCUGCCGAGGUCCUACCUCCUCGGAUCCAGUCUGAUUCCAGGCCGCUUCUAGGCCGGUGCCCAGCUGAGGCGGGAACGCUGCCGUUUGGUUGAGCGUGACUUUUAGGCUCUGUGAGGAAAAGUCGAGCGCACCACAUCGAGGCGCUAGCCGUUUGUUCUACCACGAGCUCACAAACUUCAGCCCCCAGACGGAGGCCGAAAGUUAAACCGGAACCAGAAACCUUCUGACUGCCCUAGGCCUGUUGUCCCUAUCGUCAUGGCCGCUGCCAUGCCGCUGUCUCCCAACACGUGACCAGAGUGGGCCGGGCCGCCAAUUCGUGCAGCCAUAUUUGCCACUUUCCUGGAGGCAGAGCGCAUGCGUCGCAGAACCGGAAAGUUUCCCUGAACAAGGCUGAUGCCUAAGUUCCUGUAUAGGCGUCUGCAGCACAGCAAUGCUCUCUCUACCAUUAAUGAUGACCGCUGAUGAACCUGUAUUUGACCAGCAUACUCCAAUCUUUAUCGGAAAUGUCUGGACCAACCGUCCUUACUAAAUCUAAAGACAGCCAUUUGUCAUCCCUCUGACUGCCUGUCAUCAUCUGCCUGGGAAAAUCUAUAAUUUUUGGCUUGUUCCUGACUCAACUGUGCAAUGAAUAAAUUUAUCUUUGGGUCACUCUGCUUGUCAGGAUCAAUAUUGAGCAGAGGUUGAAUAAAUUAGAAACUGAGAAAACA